CCCCCUGGCGGGCCGGUAACGCGGCCUUUCCUUCGGGACAGGGGAGACAGGUGGUGCAUGGUUGUCGUCAGCUCGUGUCGUGAGAUGUUGGGUUAAGUCCCGCAACGAGCGCAACCCUUAUCCUUAGUAGCCAGCACGUGAAGGUGGGCACUCUAGGGAGACUGCCAGGGAUAACCUGGAGGAAGGUGGGGAUGACGUCAAAUCAUCAUGCCCCUUAUGAUUUGGGCUACACACGUGCUACAAUGGCGUAAACAAAGGGAAGCGAGACAGUGAUGCGGAGCAAAUCCCAAAAAUAACGUCCCAGUUCGGACUGUAGUCUGCAACCCGACUACACGAAGCUGGAAUCGCUAGUAAUCGCGAAUCAGAAUGUCGCGGUGAAUACGUUCCCGGGUCUUGUACACACCGCCCGUCACACCAUGGGAGUCAGCAACGCCCGAAGUCAGUGACCCAACCGAAAGGAGGGAGCUGCCGAAGGCGGGGCAGGUAACUGGGGUGAAGUCGUAACAAGGUAGCCGUAUCGGAAGGUGCGGCUGGAUCACCUCCUUUCUAAGGAA
This 554-nucleotide ribosomal RNA is filed under the name Enterocloster clostridioformis. Its description in RNAcentral is "bacterial SSU rRNA". It matches the Rfam family "Bacterial small subunit ribosomal RNA", at positions 988 to 1533 of the family's 1533-position model. Lineage: Bacteria; Bacillati; Bacillota; Clostridia; Lachnospirales; Lachnospiraceae. The record is from RNAcentral.